This 239-nucleotide ribosomal RNA is filed under the name uncultured bacterium. RNAcentral describes it as "partial 16S ribosomal RNA". It matches the Rfam family "Bacterial small subunit ribosomal RNA", at positions 15 to 236 of the family's 1533-position model. The record is from RNAcentral.
GAUCAUGGCUCAGGACGAACGCUGGCGGCGUGCCUAACACAUGCAAGUCGAGCGAGAAGUUACGAAAUGAAGCUUCGGCAGAAUUUUGUAAUGGAAAGCGGCGGACGGGUGAGUAACGCGUGAGUAACCUGCCCUUAGGAGGGGGGACAACAGUUGGAAACGACUGCUAAUACCGCAUAACAUAUGAUAACCGCAUGGUUAACAUAUCAAAGAUUUAUCGCCUAAGGAUGGACUCGCGU